This 1336-nucleotide long non-coding RNA is filed under the name Capsicum annuum. RNAcentral describes it as "long non-coding RNA (CANN_LNC012691)". Lineage: Eukaryota; Viridiplantae; Streptophyta; Magnoliopsida; Solanales; Solanaceae. The record is from RNAcentral.
GGUGUCCAUAAUACUUGUCCAUGAACUAAUAGAUCCAGUGCAAAAAUACCUUAGCCAUAACACUACCUUUCUCAUGAGUGAGAGUGGGAAAAGGCAUAACUUGAUUACACUUUUGGGAUAUAUAUGCAUCAUUGAAUGGAGCAUAGACUUCCAUGAAGCCAUUUAAGUGGACGUUCAGGCUUCAUGUGCCUCACACCCAAAAAGUCCCUCUAAGUUGAGCAAUUGUAUUAUUACACAUGUAAAAUAAAAUAUUCCAUGCUCCUCGAUAGGGGGAAUACAAAUGGCACUUUCAUGAUCUUCGGCCUCAUGGAUCCUGAUGAUUUGGGAAUAAUAAUAUUUACCUAAUCAAAGAUCAAAAACAAAAAGGAAAUUAAAUUAAAUUUGCUACGGGUGCACCCAUGUAAAAAUCACAUCGUACAAGCAAAAUUUAUAUUUCACUCCCCAACAACGGCGCCAUUUUAAUAAUUCUCAACUCACUCCCAUUCUUGUAGGUGAAUUGGUUAUUGUCAAUACACAAAUUAGAGUUGGGGUCUAAUCCACAAGGAGCGAAUUAUAACUUUCAAGUCCUAUAGGUGCUCUAAUUACUAAAAGGAUACCCGGAAAGACAAUUAACAUGACAUGUAAAAUAAAAUGGGGGGGGGGGGUUAAAUUGGGAUUGGUUUAUAACGAUUUUUGACUAACAAUGCACGAAUGUAAUAUUUAUGAUUUAAAAUCAAAAUUUGAGAAGAUCUUAGGACUAUGUCUACCUAAGGUAAAGCAUGUAGGUUGAUGAUGGUUUGGCAUGAAAAGUUGUUGUUACUAAAGGAUAAGCUAGGUCAAAAGUCAUUAUAAUUAAUCUUUCAAUAAAACUCCAACGAUUUAACCCAUUGGCUCUUUUGAGCACCUAACAUGUGCAAAAUUCCUAAUCACGAAAAACAUCAAUCAAGCAUCCUUAUUUCUAAGAUGAUGCUUUUGUCAUGAUUUAUACUCCAAUUACACUUAUAUUUAUAAUUGCAAAUACAUGUAAUCCAUAGGUUUAAUUAUGAGCCAUUGCCUUGCCCCCCUAUAACCCUCUUUCAAGAAUGAAAUGGGUUACCUUAUAUUCCACUUAAUCCUUUUUUUCAAUGAUGAUGAACGGUUUAUUGAGUUUGGGGUUUUCAACCCUCAAACCUAUUUGGAGAUUUGUGGUUUUCACCAACAAAUUCCAAUUCAUCAACUCCAAAAAUGGUGGAAUACAUACUCAACAACCAGGAAUCAUGCAAACGCAACAACAACAAAACACAAUAAAACAUUUGUUCAACAUAAUCCCAAGACUAGAGAAAUUAGCUACUCAUGAGAUAGGGGAAAAUACUUUUAC